This 290-nucleotide long non-coding RNA is filed under the name Lathyrus oleraceus (garden pea). RNAcentral's name for it is "Pisum sativum (pea) long non-coding RNA (PSAT_LNC011503)". Lineage: Eukaryota; Viridiplantae; Streptophyta; Magnoliopsida; Fabales; Fabaceae. The record is from RNAcentral.
UGAUGUUGCUUGAUGUUCAUUAUGCCAUGCCAUUGUGUGUUUUUGCUCGAAACUUGUUUGAUGUUGAUGAACCAUGGAGUUGAAUUGAUGUAUGUUGCUGUUGUUUAAAUUUAGCUCUGCCCAGGAAUUUCCUUUGCUUAUGCUUGGUCUGUUGUUAAUUAAUGCUGUGUGAUGAUGAUGUUGCAUGAACAAACUUGUACCAAUGCCAUGUUUGCCCCCCAUGCUGUUCGAGUUUCAAUUGGUGAUGACUGUUUGAUUGCAUGAUGAACAUGAUGCUUUGCUGUUGUUUG